This 1073-nucleotide unclassified non-coding RNA is filed under the name Hevea brasiliensis (rubber tree). Lineage: Eukaryota; Viridiplantae; Streptophyta; Magnoliopsida; Malpighiales; Euphorbiaceae. The record is from RNAcentral.
AAAAAUCAAUGUCUGCAUACCAGAAAAAUAACCAUUGUCUAAAUACCAAAAACUGACAAUCCGUAACUCAAAAUACCAAAAUGCCAAAUCAAAUCUUCUAGCCACAUGGCCUUAAUCGAAAUCUCACUAAAUGAUCCAAAAUAAGAACAAAUGGGUUUUCAAUGCCCAUUCCUUUGAAAUCAAAAGCUUGUUGACAAAUUUCAACAGUGAUCAUUCCCUUUCAGCUUCGGCUUCAAUUAAGCAAAUGCAUGAAAAUUCAAAGUUCAAGCACAAUGCUGACAAUACAAUGCCGAUGCAUUUCAACAACAGAAUUUUAAAUUCUUAAAUAACAAGUUAUCUGGGUUUCUUUGGGUUUUGUAAGAAAUAAAGAUAUGACUUUGGCGAUCUACACGAAAUAUAGGAAAUCAAGGAAAAGAAGCAGACACAAUGAAGAAGAUGCUCAACAAAUAAGCAAAGAAGAAGCUCAAGAAAAUAGCCAAAAAGAUCCAACCUAUCAGGCUAUCAUGCAUAAACACUACGUGGCACGCACAAAUGGCAGGUCAAGCUCCUCUCUGAUUUUGGUACUUGAAUUUUCCUACUUUUUUUGAUAAAAAAGUUCACUGAAAGCUAAGAAGUGGGAACAAAUGCAAUAAAUAAGGAGUGUCCUUUAAAGUAUUUAAAGUAUAGAGUGUCCUUUCAUUCAAAUCAAACAAAUCUUCUCAAAGGCAUAGAGUUUACUUUAAGUUCAUUUUUGUUUUGGGUUUCCCUUUUUUUUGUCUGGUUGUUUUCGCUUCAAAUUGCUUGAUGAAAAUAUGUACAUAAAUAUUAUGAUAUCAUGAUUAUGUUAUAGGGUUUAGAGAUUUGAUUUGGGACUCGCAAUAUUUUGAUCGAGGGAUUGUGUUCUUAUAGUUUAAAACAUUUUAUUUUUUAAAAAUUAAUUUUAAUUAAUUAUAAACAAAUUAUUAUUCAAGAGUGGGACCCACAUCAUGUAACAAUAUAUUUUAUUUAGAAAAAUGUGCUUCAUCAUCAAAACCAAUUGUCAUUAAGAGAUCAGGCCUAAAUUUGUUAACAGCAUAAACCAAAGAGUAUUAAAU